This is a long non-coding RNA of Gasterosteus aculeatus aculeatus (three-spined stickleback), 6608 nucleotides long. NCBI's taxonomy places the organism in Eukaryota, Metazoa, Chordata, Actinopteri, Perciformes, Gasterosteidae. The record is from Ensembl.
CUGUCUAUUUAACCAUGCGUGUCCCUUUUGGCUUUGUAGGUCCGUUAAUUAGUGGUGGUGAGGUUUGGUCGCCCUUUCCUGCGACCUGAGUUUUUGCCACCGUACUUUCCUCCACAAAAAAGACUGCUAAAUGUUGUUACGGCCUGCCUAUGCCUAGGGGUGCACAGGUGUAACACAAAAAUGUUGGAUAAAAGGGUAGGCUUGCCAAAAGAUGGAACGGCAGAGAUGAAUAAAGCGUGCGUAAAGUUUCAACAAAAGUAAAAACAAUUUAUUAACAACCUAUUCAUCACAAAAAGGCAACUCAAAGGAAACAAAAGCAUCAGGGUCUCCAAGGCCAAAACAAUAAACAAAACCACCCCCCUAGCUAGAAAACAAAAGGUGUUCAGACCUACUGGGGGACAAGGAAAGACAAUACUGACCUCCCCUUUAUCCACAAAACAGGAGAAAAAGCAGUAACAGAAAUGGCAGCGAACCCCUACACAAUGGUGGUCGGUACGCAGACUCUAGACACAAACAGAAAAGAGAGACUGCUUAACACUGGAUCCGGGAGCCUUUAUGUGGCCCACUAAUGGCCUGAGGUCUCUCAGGUGGUGUUGCUCCAGGUGAAAUCACCUGAGAGAAUUGCCCCCGCCCUCUUCUCAGGAGGGGGCGGAGUCACAUCAGGGGACGUAACACAUCUAAUAACUAUUUAAAUUUCAGAAUAUACAUAAUAUCCAAUCAUAUUAUGUAUGUUCUGAAAUUGUCCAGAUAAGAUAAUAUCUUAAUAGCUACUGUUAAAUUAUACUCAUUUUUAAAACAGUAGCAUUCUCAUGCAGGGACACCAAAAGGAGAACACAGAAGUUCAAGAUCUCCUUGGAUAAUUUGAUGAGUAAUCUGUGGUGAGUCAUAUGCUGAGACCAUGAAGAAGUCACUCAAAAGGAGGCUUGGUUGAUAUAUUAUUUUAUGUGUGUUUUGUAAUGCAAUUAAAUCCCUUCUCAUACAUCCCUCCACAUCCAUACGUCAUUUUAGAAUACAAGGGGGCCCAAAACAGAACCUUGUUGGACUCCUUGUACUACAGGAUUGAGAGAGUGGUUCCUGCAAUGACAGUGAACAGUAGUGUAGUUUCCUGCUAUGAUCAGAUAUUUCUCCAUGCUGACGAGUAGGGUGGGUGUCCGACUGCGAGGGAGGAUACACUUAGAUCCAUUAGGAUCCAAACGCUGACAGCUCUAGGGUCAGGAGGUCAUUGGUUACCCUGAGUAGUACGUUUCGAUAGAGGCCAGGGUGUGAGUUAUUUAUGAUGGUGAUAAUGUAUGUGCAGACUGCAGGCAGUGAUGGCCCGUCAGGUCCAGUUAAGCCUUCUCUGCUGGCCUAAAAAGAAUCCCAAAGUUAUUGUUUUAUCCAAUCAGAUUCAGCCCUCUAUGUAAAAGAGGCCAGCGGUCCUCUAGAUAGCUUUGUAGGUUAAAGUGUAUGGGCACAGUCGUCUUUAUUGUCAUAGUCUUUAACCAAUCAGGUCUUUAGGUUGGCUUGUUGGGUGUAUUUUUUCACAGCCCAGCAGUAGUAAGGUAGCCUCCUAAGUACGCCUGGAUCAACGUACAGCGCAGCGUUGACGUGCGCUGUGAUUGGUCAGUGAGUGAACAGAAAGCUAGCUGGCAGGUCUUUGUAUUUAGUAAGAGUUCAGGAUGAGCUUUGUCUGUAAAUAGUGAACAGCAUUUGAUAAGUGAACGGCUUUCGUGUUUUUACAUCUACACUAGGAUUUAAAUUUGUCCAUCGUAUUGUUUUAAUUAGAAAGUAACAUUGUUCCCUUUGAUGGAAAUAUUUGAAUAACCCAUGUGUAAAGGAUCUCGGGCGGCAGGAGGAGACUCAAGCACAGAUUUAAUCAACAAAGGGAGCAGGGUAGUCGUAUCCAGUAAACAGGCAAGAGGUCAACAUCCUGGAGCAGGUAGAUUGGAAAAGGUCCCGACAAGGAUCAGGCAGGAAGCAACGAGGUCUGGAACAAACAAGGAGUCUUGAACAAGAGGUCAAACAGGAGAUCAGCAUAAAGCUCAGCAUGUGAUGGUAAACUACAGACUUCGCAAGGAACGCAAAGGAAUCAGGGGUAUAUAUACAGACCAGCUUGAUGGAUAACCAGACACAGGUGUGUAGGGAUAAGUGGGCGUGCAGAUAGACAGACCCAAAACGGAACAAACCAACGAUACAGUAAACGGGGGGGAAUUUGGGGUCCAGAUUUGAAGGCCUCAGUACUCAGGGGAAGAGGAGUGCUGGAUCGUGACACCUUGCUCUUGACUGUGCCCUGUUUUGUAUGGGGCGCCGUUAGUAAAAUGUUGCACGUUCUAAAAUCCUGCGCAGUUUUGCUACAUUUAACAUAUUAACAAAAAAGCACGUGAUAAAUAUUCAAUGUUACAUCUAAAUGUUAAAUGUACAGUAUAUCUAAAUGUUAAAUGUUCACUCAUACAUAUCAGACUUGACGAGAACAUCUUUACGGUAAAACAAGCUGGCAAGUCUGGAUGAAUUAGCUCUUGUUAUAGAGCGGGGGUGUCAAACUCAUUUUAGGUACGGGGCCACAUACUGUCCCCAUUGAAGUCAUGCGGGGGGUUCACGGGUGCGCAACCCCCCCUUUGAUCGGACCAUUGCCGUUGACCGCGCCCCUCCGCGCCCGUGCCCCUCCCCCUUCACCGUUGCGGUUACCGUCAAAUUACAUUUAAAUUUAGAUUUAACAUUUAGAUUUACAUUUAACAUUUAGUGUCAGGGGAUGCGUGGGAAGGCAGGACUCAAAUGCAGAGUUUUAAAGCAAAAACUUUAAUAGUCAAAAGGGCAAAGCAAAGGCCAACGGGCAAAAACACAGGAACGGGGGGGGGGGGCAAAAGGGCAGGCAGGGACGAGAGGCAUGCAGGACGAUUGCGAGGGACCAUCCGGGACAAUAGACAGUGACGCCACCAGUGACAAACAACACACACUGCUUAAAUACACAAGGGAGGUGCAGGUGAUUGGACACAGGUGGAAACAAUCAGACAAUCACAGGGGACGACAGGACAAGGCAGGAAGUGAAGUUACCCGGGGAGACAAGAAGCAGAAAACUACAAAAUAAGACAGGAAAUAAAACCACACCGUGACAGUUGUAAGUCAGCAGCGAUGUUUGUUGCCAGUUUCACAACUGCUCACUCGUACGAGUUCAUGGUCUUUCUUUCCUAGAGCUGUUGCGUGCAUGCUGGCACGUCGGCCCCACAUGCUGUCAUUCCAUAUUUUAUUUUAUGGAGUCUAUUGCACAGGUUUCAAUGUGUAUUUUCCAGCAAAGCGGUUCGUCUAUGUGGACACCAUAAUAUUUGUAAAAGGAUGCCCGCGUGGGUGUCUGGUCUUGGAUGAUCACUGACUAAUCAUCAAUUGCCUCGGGUCUGGUCUCCUGUAUUUUGUGGCAUUCAUGUGAUGGUCAGUGUCACAUGUCCUUUCAAGAAACAUUUCACUUAAUGAACGCGUCUUUUUCAUCAUGGUACACAAAGUGGCACUGGAGAAGGCUCCAGAUCGCAGUGAAUCGUCAUUGAAGCUAUCAGGGUGGUGAAGUUGGUAGAAGCUUACUCGGUGUCAAAUAGCAUGCAACGAAUGACAAAUAUAGAGUGAAAACGCAAGGGAAAAAAGACAGGACCAAAACCCAAACAUGGACAUAUGGAGAAACUGAUAUCCAUCCUCAGUUGACGUACAUGGGAACUAUGAACUAUAAAUAAAUCCCUUCCUGUAAAUAGUAGAUGGCAUCUGCCUGUGUGCUUUUAUGCUGUUGUAUGGUGCUAAUUCCAGCGAAAUUAGAGUACAAUAACAACACAAAUCGCCUGUCGGCUAAACGUGAGAUAGUCUCAUGUGAGACUGCAAGACAAAAACGUCACAGCGAGGCGACAGGGGGGUCUCAUGCGGGGCAGUUGGACAUGCUAUUGAGUGACCCUUUGCCCGCUCGGGUCUUAUUUCAUGCAAAGCCCCGCUGCGCCGUGGCCUCCCACGAGUGUCUGAGGGUGCUCGCCGAGCAUCGGAGAGCAACAAUGAUUAAUGCGGUUAUAAAACCAGGCGGCCGACUUUUAAGUCUUGCGGUAGAUCAUCCAGUGAGGGAGCUUCACCACGCGCACUGGAGCAACUCAGAACCAGGAGCUGUGAGGAGAGCAUCAAACAAACAAAAUCUCCAAUAAAACUUUGAUGACCUCUCGCCUUCACAAAAAAAAGAAGAAGAAAAAUCCCGUCCUCCGACUCGGCUAUGAAGAUCCUAAAAUCAUAAAAGUGUGAUACGGCCGAGGUAAUAUUUGCUUUCUGUCAUACACGGUACUGCUGGUUUCAUAUCAGAGGUUUGAUUGCUAUUUCUAUUUUAGGGGGAUAAUAAGAAUUUGACGUGAAAUGGAUAGAAUGUGUGAGUAUUGGUUAGUGUGGACGUGUGGACCCAAUGGCUGGUGAUUUACUCUACUUAGCGCCCUCACAUUCAGCGCAGCAGCAGACUGUACAUGUUAAGGGGUGGUAGCUAUUUAUGGCAAACAAUUAACGCAACAAAGCAAACACACAUUGGUGUAAAGGCAGAUGCCUGAGAGACAUAUUAUUAUUAUCUGGGUGUACUUACGGAUUUGGACAUCAACGCGGAACAGUUACAAAAUCAGCCGACUAUCACCCAAAGGAUGUAUUAAGGGUUAGAGGGCUUAUGUCUCAACAAGAUUUGGAAAAAUCGGUGCAUGCAUUAAUAUACACAAAGUGUCAAUCAGAAAGCUACAGCUGAUCCAGAACGCUGCAGCUGGAGUCCUCACUGGGACCAGGAUGGGGGAAAGUGGAUCACAUAACUCUAGUCCGCAGGUCUUUAUGCUGGCUUCCUGUCAAAGGGUUGACUUACAACAUCCUGCAGUUGUUUUAUGAACUGAGUGGUUUAGUGGCAAAGUACGUUUCUGAUUUGACUUUCUGUUCCCAGAGUCAAAACUAAAACACGGAGAAGCAGCGUUCAGUUUUUCUGCUCCACAUAUCUGGAACAAAGUCCCUCAGCUGCUUUAAAUCCACACUUUUCUAUUUGCUGCUGCCUUUAAUUUACCAUUUUGGAUGUUUUGGUACUCCUAAACUGCACUGCCCUUUUUAUGCAGUUUUUUAAAAGUUUGUGCCAGUCACUCAAUCAGUAUAAUCGAAAUAAGAAGAUAAGAUGCAUAGUGGUUGCCUUGUAAAAAUAAGCCUUUUCCUACAAAACGAGCGUGUCCUCUUCACAAGGUUUGUUUCUAAUGUGCUUCAGAGUAAACACACCAAACACACAGAUAGGCCAUUUGAUAUGUGACUCUGAGAGCUAUUUCCCAAAUAUUCCUGCUCCCAGAUAAUGACUAGCAGUCGGAUACAAAUAGGCCCAUUUCUUAUACCUUUGAAAAGGGACACCCAUAUCCAUCAUGGUUCCAAUUGAGAAAUAAACUGUAGUCUUCAAUUGAAUUUAUUUUGGAUAGGCCAAAAUCACAAAUUACAAGUUUGCCUCAGAGUGCUUUACAAUCUGAACAAAUAGCAGAAACCUACCUACAUUAGCCCAGGAAAACUCCCCAGCCAAAAAAAAACCUUUAACAGGGACAUUGAAAGGUCUUAUUUAUCCAGUAUCAUGCUCACUACUUACUGCAUCACUGUGCCAAUACUCACACACUGCACUGUAGAUAUUGGAUUUAGCGUGGAGUCGACGUUCAUAUUACAUGCGGUUCAAGGGGGUAUCUGAUUAGAUUGAUAUCCAAUUAAUGGAAAUGUUAAUGCUAAUCCCUGCUCUUUUCUUUUUUUAUCCAUCCAUGCCUAUGUAUGUCUCUGGUAUUGAUUGGAAGUCUGGACUAAAAUAGAACUGGUGAUGAUUUUGCUAUUUACUUUAAUAUUUCCAUUCAUAAUGAUGCCCCUCCCCCUUCCCCUUCUUCUUCUUCUUUCUGUUGCCUGUCCAUCUCCGAGGCGUCACGCAAUACAAUUAUUUGUUCGAACACAAAGCCUCAGCAAGAAGGGUUGUAUUUUGAAUGAAUUGAUCAUUUUCUUUCGCUGUGGGGCGAGUAUCACAGCACGUCAGCAUGGAAACAAGUCCCUCUGCAAGGGAAGCUCGGGUGCCGCUUUCCUGCUGCUUUCUCGUGCAGGUUGUUUACACACCUGAAUAAGUCGAGCAGUGCAGAUUUCACUUCCUGUAUAGGAAGAGCAGUGACACGCUGAUGCACACAGGAACCGCUUUGCCUGUUAUCCAAUGCCAAGUAAUCUGCAGCUACAAAGUGUCUCGUUGCUCCACGUAUUGGAUUCACGUGGGCCGGUAUUGACAGUGACAUACGAGGCCUGGGCGUCUCUUUGUGUGUGUGUGUGUGUGUGUGUGUGCGUGUUUGUGUGUGUGUGUGUGGAGCCAGAGCUGGAGUGUACUAACACUACACCUUCCUCUCGGAUUCUGCUCUGCGUUCCAGGCGUGCUCACCGGGGAGGGGGCGGGGGGGGGUCCCGUCUUCAAAGGACAUUUUUGAAGUAUGUACGUAGUCGCCAUUACAUCAAAGCGAGUCCAUCAAUUAUGAUUUCAGAAGCACAAAUUAACAGGCAUUAACCAACACGUCACCGCCACACAAAUGGUGAAUUGUGGGAUUUGUGUACAGCAGCAUGCAUGUUAGAGGAACCUGGGUGUAGAACACCCCCCCCCCCCCC